RNAcentral lists this long non-coding RNA (397 nucleotides) under Phoenix dactylifera (date palm). RNAcentral's name for it is "long non-coding RNA (PDAC_LNC023047)". Lineage: Eukaryota; Viridiplantae; Streptophyta; Magnoliopsida; Arecales; Arecaceae. The record is from RNAcentral.
UUCAAUAGAGGCUUUCAAAAUCAUAAUUUGAGAUAUGUAUCUUCCACAUUAUAGCUCAUCUUAAAUCAUUACGAUUGAAAACACAUAUUUCAAACAUAUAAGAGCAUAUUCAGAAUCUUUGUAUUUAAUGUUGAGUUUUGGUACAAAUUAGAACAUUAUAUACCAAAUUUAGGCAAGUUGAAGGAUAGAACAAAAUCAAUUUAUUUUCCCUAAAUAGAGAUAUCCUUCUCUUCUCCUUUUUACAAAUUUAUUCAACUUUCAGAUUUUAGAGAUGAUUGUGAACGACAAAUCUGAAAUUUCUUUUCAAUAAUAAAAUAAAAUAACUUCAUAUAGUAUUUCAAACAUUCAAUCAGAUUAUCCAAUCAUGGAACAUUACAAAAUAUUGAGAAUCCAUAAU